CUCUAUUUCCCUUCCAACCCUACUCUCUCUCUCUCUCUCAGUCUCUCUUUGUGCAGGCACUGGGACAUUAGGGUCGAGCCUCGCCGGAGCGUGGACGGAAAUGACGGCCUGCGUUCGCGAGGUUGGACAAGGAACCGACGGCGGCGCUCGUCGCGCGAGAUCCACAUCUCGAGCCGACGCGGCCGACCCCUAUCUUGCUCCCCAGGAUCGAAGCUUGCCAGCCCCUAACUCUACAGGAAGGUGACUGGCAAACGCGGUUCCCAGGGGACGAUCGUAGAGGUUGACCUCCGGUCGCUCGAUCCAUUUGCUGAGUUGUAAUGCUUCUGCUUGGUGCAGGUGCACAUGCAUGAGUGUUGUUCAGGAUAUGCUCUCCGUCUCGGCAGUAAAUGAUUGAAUCUGUGGUAUGUUUGCUUAGUGGAGUGGGUAUUCAAGGAAAGCAUGCCAAAGAUCAGGUUCUGCUGCAUGCAGACCAAGGCUGUGGAGUUGUACCUGUGGCUGGUCAGCAUGAUCACGGAUGAUGUUCUAUGUCAUGUUCUCUUCAUUGGGUCCGAGGCCUACUACAAGGCUCUACAGGUAGACAGAUUGAUGGACAUUGCAUAAUGUUUAGAAGGCUCGCGCUGUCAUUUUGCAUGAUACACAUGUUUUUUCUAAUCACUGAGGUACUUUGUAUACACUGAGUUCUUCCCAAGUCAAUGUGGUAAGUAUAAACCAUGUUCUUGUGUCCUCGAGCUAUCUGUUCUAUUUUUUCUGCUAGGAGAUGUUUUUGUGUGAGCUGUCGAUGAUUGUAACAGGCUGCUGCGUAGUAUAUAUAAAGACUCAAUUAGAGCUUUGUAUGACACUUAGUUGUUUGUUGACAUUUGGAAGUUCGACAUAAUAUUGGUUUCGCGCUUAUCAUGAAAUGAACUUGUGAUGGUUGAAGUUAAAAAUGCCUUAUUUGCUCCUUGUCUUCAUUAUUGACUAUAAACACUAUGCUUAAUUGUGCCUUGCUCAAACUGAAACACAAAGAGAGAAUAUUUUUGGCUCCUGCAUGACUACUAGUAGUCAGGUCAUAAGUUACACGUGGCUGCAUAUUUUUGCAAUUGGAAGACCACACCAGUAUGUGAGUAUAACAUGCAUCCUUGCCCUUCUUGGUUGCUUGGUAUUCAGAUAAAAAUACUUCUAUUUUUUCGUUAGCUAACAAACUUUUCCCAAGACCUGUAUGGUCACAUGAAGUUUUUGUGUUUUGUAAGUAUUCCAGAAUGUACCCUUGAUUCCAAACCAGUUUUGAACCAAAUGCUCGGACAAGAUCAUGCACCUUUUGCUAGGAGUGAUCAAGAGCAGUAUGAUAGACCUCAAGGUUGAUGAAGCUCAAAGAGAAGUCUCAGCAAAGAAAAGCUAGCUAGUUAUUGCCCAGAGCAGUUAUAAUUUGAUAGCUGGGACAUCUGUACAUGGGAUACGUAAUGUGGAGAUAUUGUAAUUGACUUAACUAUGGCAGCGAGAGAUUUUUCUUAACAAUGGUGUUCUGGUUGUGAUUCGAACGACUGUAAAGUUUCAUGUGCUCUCUAUUUGUUA
Lolium rigidum is the source of this 1551-nucleotide long non-coding RNA. RefSeq lists it as uncharacterized. The transcript has 5 exons. The record is from RefSeq and is a predicted model, not a curated record. Lineage: Eukaryota; Viridiplantae; Streptophyta; Magnoliopsida; Poales; Poaceae.